Gallus gallus (chicken) is the source of this 18728-nucleotide long non-coding RNA. RefSeq lists it as uncharacterized. The record is from RefSeq and is a predicted model, not a curated record. Lineage: Eukaryota; Metazoa; Chordata; Aves; Galliformes; Phasianidae. The transcript has 2 exons.
CCUGGGCAGAACAGAAGUCACAUGUUGCAUGCAGAUAAGGCAUCAGCUUCUGUCUCCCAACAAGCAGUCAUUAAAGGCAUACUCACCGCAGCAGAUCUUCUGGAACACUGCUCUCCCUGCUCUUGAAGGCAAUAACCGUUUCUGUGCGGCUUGCAUUUCUGCAAAUAGACCAGAGAAUAAUGUCAGCUACUGAAAUAACAGCCAGGCAGGUGCUCUGGCUCUCAGGCAGCCUACCUGAGAGCAUCAUCGGAACAAGCUAUCCAGAAAAGAUAGCCAAAGAAGAGCAUCUGCUUCUAGACACUGUCCUAAGGAGGUGAGCAAACUUGUGGAAGCAUUCCUGCACUCUACUAGCAUUUUAUCAGCACUAAAAUCCCACAGAACAUCUCAUGUUAGACAAAGCAGUGUAACACAAGAACAAAAUAUAGGUCUAGCCAGCGUACUAUAAAAGUGGAUUACUUUUUCCUGGUCUUUCUACAAUUGUGUGUAUGCGUGCACACUCUAUAUACUUUACAUGCAGUUCUCUUAAAACUUACUUGUACAUAGCAUUGUAUCGAGAUAAGCCUUGUGCCUUCCCACCCAUCUUGGACAGCCAGUCAGAAUAGGCAGCACGAGGUCCUUUUAGGCUGUGGACAUAGGAGGGGAAAAAAAUGGAAAAAGGAUAAGGUUGAUUUAUCUGUAUUAUCUUAUCAACUCUGUACCUGAAUAUCUGCAGAUCAAGCAUGUACUGCUACAAACCCAUGGGAUUUUUAAGCACAAAGCAUGGGAGCUAUAGCCUACAUUAAUUCUAGCCUUGCUAUGAAAAUGAUGCGUAUGCGGUCAGUGCAUGUGUUGAUCCAUCCAUCUCCUUCCCCCCAGCUUCUGAAUGCAUUUCAGUCAUAUUUGAUGGAAGAUUAGGCAUUCAUGUCUCAAAUACAUUAACUUCCAACAGGUGCUCUAAAAAUCAGAAGCUGCCUUGAGAAGACAGACCUAAAAUAACCUCUCCAGGGAAGGAAAGAUGUUUUUACCAUGAUCUCUUAUCCACCUGAGAGGCAUUAUGCAGCCUGCCCCAUGACACUGUUUUUUGUCCAUCCAAACAGAUAAGAGUGCAGAAGGCAGUCCAUUAUCUUUUCUGCACAUAUAGAAGGGGAGGAAAGGGAACUUGGAGGACUUAAGUAUUAAUCCAGACUUCAUUAGUUACACUACCUACAAAAUAGCUUGUUUUUCUUCCCAUCUUAUCUGCAUACAUUACUGUGCUAGCCUUUAAACUGCUGGUCUGUUCCACAGAAACAGCAGCUGAGUAGUAGAACAGCCACCUGUUCUCCUUCCAAAACACAGAGUCAUUAAGGUUGGAAAAGACCACUAAGCUCAUCCAGUUCAACCAUCAGCCCAUCACCAUCACGCCCACUAAACCCGCUAACCAUGUUCUGAGGUAUAGAGAUCAUUUCCAUUUAAGAAAUAUUUAUCAUUUAUAGACCACACAGCCCAUCACUGUGGAUAAAAGACUUCAGAACUUCAGGAAGUUGUUCACUCUCACUGCAACUGAAACACUGCCUGUAAGAAUUUCAGAGUCCUCCUUUGGGAGUGCUGCUGUUCACCUGCAGCUCAGUUAAGAGUCCUAACUGAUUCAGCUGAAGAGUGUAUGGGGAAGUAUUUCAAAUCUAUAUACAAUAAUAAAAUAAGGCUGUUUGUGUGAUAAAUCAUGAACUGUUUCUAGAAAGAUACAGAGAAUCUACAUUUAAAGUAUUAGAAACCUCCCCUCACGAGAAGCUUCCAAGCAAGUCCUCCUCCUCUUCCAGUAAUUGAAGUGGGAUCAACAUUAGCACUGUUGCUCACAGAAGCAAAGCAGAUACCAGUGAUGAGGGAACUGUAGUAAUUCCUGAACGCUCAGUCAAAAAUCAACUAUAGAAACAAAGGCUCUUUGCAGUCCAACCUGCACUCUGGAACUUCCUCCAACCUGCCCUGUAAGCAGGAGAACUAGUAAAAAUAAUUGAUGACAACUCUUGGACAUGCCCAAACAGAGACCAUGCACUAAGGAAAGAAGGCAGUAAAUGAAACCACGUUUCUAAGUUCCAGGACAGAAACUGGAUACAUAGAAACUUUCAGGGUGACGUGCUAAAAUCAACCCAUUUUACAAAUAUCCAUCCCUUAAUUACAAGCAAGAGACAUAAAGCUCAUUUAUUCAUAUCCAGCCUUUGUACACAGUCAGAGACAAUGUUUUUUUCACAGCUGUGUUUUGCAUAUCUGCUGAUUUCCUCCAUCCUGGACUCACUGCUCAACACAGCUUCUGAACAGAACAGCUCUGUCUCUGCUCCCCCACCUCCUCUCCCCCCCUUGCUGACCAACGUCCAUUUCCUGCCUGAUCAAAUCAGGAGAUCAAAAUCCUUUGCUUGUAAAAAAUCAAUCUGCUGAUAAGGAAAUGGUGAUGAUAACAACGUCACACACGAUUAUAAGCCUCUUGUUUAAACAAGCUGGGUGGAGGAUAUUCCAGGUACAGUGGUACUCAUUAAACAAACAGUUGCUAAUUACUAUUUUGAGUCAGGAAGUACAGAGCGCCUCCUUGCUUAUAGGUAGUUUCCUUUCUUUAAAGAAAGGAAAGAUGAUGCCACAGGAUGGUCAGCAUCAUGAUGAAGCCACUAGCAGCAAUCCCUUUAGAAGAGACAGCAAAGCCUAACAUCACCUGUUAUAGUUGGCAUCUUCCUCUUCAGUCAUGCUGUUCCUCAGGAAUUCUUUCAAGGUACAGGUAUUUUCCAGCCAUUUGAUGAGUCCCAGCCUGGAACAAAAGUAAUCAGAGAUGUGAACAAGUAGCUUAGAGUCAGAACAACACAGAAUUGGAAGCAAUGCAUUCUAGUGUCCGCUAAAAGAAAGCUGCCAAUUUAAAUAUACUCUGAAAUACAGUUUCCAGACAAAGCAGUUUCAAAAGGAAAAAAAAUACAAAAGCAAGCCAAGACCCAAAACACUCUGAACCAGAAUCUGGCACGCAUAGACCGUACUUCCCAACAUUGCAACAACAGAUGUUAAUGUAAGAAUUUCUGCCCCUCCAAGAUAAAAUCCUACCUUGUGGUCAUGGGGAUGACCUGGUAUGUUUUCAACUGCAUAUUCCUUUGGCUGCAGGCAGCAUCUCGGGAAAGGACGAUGUUCAUUACAUCAAACAGCUGCUCAAUGCGUUGGUCUUGUCGCAGGUCUUCUCCACCUUUGACAAGAAAAGGAUGCUCCUGCUCAUCGCUGCCUCGGAUUGUUAUGCGCUUGGGUUUCCUCAAGGAUUCCAAUACCAUUAUCUUGGAAGACGGGGAAAAAACAAGUAUUUGUGACACAAGAUUUGGUCUGACAGAGUAACUACUGAAAUUAAGCCUGUCCGGCGUUCCCAGAUGGCACAAUCAAGUUGCUCAAUUACUACUCAAAGACCAAAAAAAGUUCUGCAAAACAGCAUUUAUGUGCUCCAAGAUGUGUACACAGCAACAACCUUUCUACUGUCAAAUUCUCCAGACUGAAUAUGGCCACAGGUGCAUAACACCAGAACUUGAACUCAAGUUCACAAACAUACCCGUUCAUCAAAUCCAGAGAUCUUCACAUGGUACUCUGGUAGAGGUUUCCCCUUCCCAUCGUACUGACCUGUGGUGGGGAUGAGGAAAGGCAAAACUGACACAGUCUGAUUUUAAAUAUUAUCAGUAGUAUUCUUUAAAGUGUGUUUAAUAAUAGAAAGAACUCUUAUAAAUAUCCUUCUUAAAAUGGCAAAAUUAUAUCUUUCAAGAAAACACACGAAAAUCCAUAAAAACCCAUUUUCAUUAUACAUUUUAAUCUCUGAAUUACUAAUAGUCUUCCCUUCUUAAGCAGGGAGAUUUUCAGAUCUUAAUAGUUUGAGAGGACACAUCCUUGCUGAAUUUGAAUUAAGCAUAUAUUAGAUGCAACACUCAGAUUUUCCUGGACUCGUGCCUUGAAAAGAACACUUUAGGUUAGAGAUGUGAUUUCUGAUAGCUUUAAAAAAAAAGCAGGCAUACAACCAAAGAACAGAUUUAAGAGAUUAAAUAGCAGUUAUUUCAGACUACCUCUCUGCAAGGUGAGAACAAAGGGCCAUACAGCCAACGUAAGCAGCAGCAGCUUUCUUGCAUGAGACAUUUCCAACAUCACCACUGAAGGGGAACUUACCAGGGACCUCCAGCUCAUUCCUCAAGAUCUCAGCUCUGAAUUCACUCAUCCAUGGCGAACACUCUUUCAGGUUUCCAGGUUCUUUAUGGGUUUUGUUCAUUUUGGUGAGAAGAGCUGUUGUGAUCUCAUUGAAAUCACUGAUCUUCAUAUCCAACAGCUUUGAACCGCCUUUUCCAAAAUGACUGUCAAAAUCCUUCCCAAAAGCCUGAGGUUCAUUCACAGAUAUGAAUCCUGUUAGGACAAUGCUUGGAACUCCCCAGGAGCACAACAACAGUACCUUCGCAUCCAGACACACAGUUUCACCUGCCCUCCUGAAACAUCUCCAUCUUUCUCCUACUCUAAGUCUUUUCCUCCAUCGAUUUCUAGCCUGUCAGAACCCUUUCAUUGCCUGUUUCAUAGACCCCACCAGCUGCUAGCAACAGAAAUACUAACAUUUCCCGACCCCAGUGAUACCAGAGCUCUGCAGAAUUAGACCACAAUCCUUUUCGCUAUAUCAAAACCAGAAGCCUAUCCCUUCUUACCUCUUCCAGUUGCAGCUGGAUUCUGGGUCAACACAUCAAUAAUGCUGCUUGUUACACUUACAGAAUCACAGAAUAUCUAGAGUUGGAAGAGGCCCACGAGAUCAUCAAGUCCAAUUCCUACCUAGUCCAAGAGACUACUGAACUGACCCAGAACAUUUUCACUCUCAGCAGGAUCUGGGACAGUAACUCCCAUUCCCUCUUGGUUUCAAAACACACCUUAAAGCUACAAGACCUGUGGUCUUAUCUCCUGGCCCCCAAAAUACGAUUACUCACAGAUUCCCUUAGUAAGCCAUUCAUAGAUGUGAUUUUUUAACUGCGGUGAGUUUAAUCAAGGACUUCUGAUGCUAAUAGUGGAGUUCUUCCAGAUGAGAAAAGCGUAAGGGUCAAAAGCAGGCCAAUGGCCAGUUAUCCUGUGUAUUUAUGUGUGCCUUUAAUAAGAGUACCUACAUGCAGGAUGACAGUCAUUUUGUCGAAGAAACACUUAUGUAUAACCAAUACUGCUCACACAUACCACUGACUAACGGGCAAAGCCAUGUCCAACAGACAUCGCUUCUGUCACCAGGAGAUGUUUGCCACAGGACAUAAUGCAUAACACAGUUACGAAUAUACCUUGUUUGCUUACAAAAAAACUUAAAACAGCUAGUAAAAUAUUAAUAUAAAACAUGAAUGCAAAUGAAUUGAUUGGUGACAUCAGAAUUAGAGGCUGUCUGGGCUGUAGUGACCAUGCUAUGGUUGAGUCCAUGCACCAGAGGGAUAUGAGACAGGUGAAGAGUAAAAUUAGGAUGCUAAAUUUCAGGAAAGCUGACUUCCAGCUGUUCAGGGAGUUAGUCAACAAAAUACCCUGGGAAACUGUCCUCACAGGUAAGGGUGCAGAGCAGAGCUGGCAGAUCUUUAAGGAAGCUUUUUUCAGGGUGCAUGAGCUCUCCAUCCAAGGCGUAGCAAGUCAGGAAAGGAAGGCAAGAGACCGGCAGGCUGAACCGGGACCUGCUGGUUAAACUGAAGAGCAAGAAGGAAAUGCACAAGCGGUGGAAACAGGGGCAGAUAUUGUGGGAAGAGUAUAAGGAAGCUGCUGGGCUGUGUAGGGAUAGGGUCAAGAAAGCCAAGGCCCAGCUUGAACUAAACUUGGCAAGGAAUGCCAAGAAGAACAAGAAAGGCUUCUACAGGUAUCUCAGCCAGAAAAGUCCAGAAGAGUGUACCCUCCUCCCCCCCACCGAGUGACAAAGGCAGGCUGGUAAUAACAGACAAGGAGAAAACUGAGGUACUUAACUUUUUUUGCCUCAUUCUCUGAUAACUACUUGUCACACAGCCUUCAAAUGUUUGGUUUGGUAGGAGGGGAUUGGGGAAGCAACAUCCCUCCUACUGUAAGUGAAGAUCAGGUUUGUAACCACCUGAGGAACCUGAACACCCACAAGUCUAUGGGUCCCAAUGAGAUGCAUCCCAGAGUCCUAAUGGAACUGGCUGAUGUGGUCACCAAGCCACUCUCAGUGAUAUGAGAAAAGCCGUAGCAAUCAGGUGAAGUACCCGGUGACUGAACAAAAGGCAAAAUCACAUCAAUUUUUAAAGAAGUCCAGGGAGGAUCAUGGAACAGAUUCUCCUGGAAGAUUUGCUAAGGCAGGGAAGUGAUAUGGGAGAACCAGCGUGGCUCCAUCAAGGGCAAAUCCUGCUUGACCAACCUAGUAGCUGUCAGUGAUGGUGUCACUGCAUCAAUGGACAAGGGAAGAGCCACUAAUGUCAUCUAUCUCAACUUCAGUAAGGCCUUUAACAUGUCCCCUACAACAUCCUUGUCUCCAAAUUGGAAAUAUAUGGUUUUGAUGGGUGUUCUGUUCAAUGGACAAAAAACUGGCUGCAGGACUGAGUCGAGAGAGUGGUGGUCGAUGGCUCAGUGUCUGGAUGGAGACUGAUGAUGAGGGGUGUCCCACAGGGGUCAGUCCUGGGAUCGAUACUCAUUAAUAUUUUCACCAGUGACAUUGACACUGGUGUUGAGUGUACCCUCAACAAGCUUGCUGAUGACAACAAGCUGCGAGGUGAGGUGCGGUCGAUACACCAGAGGUGCAGGAUGUCAUCCAGAGGGACCUAGACAGGUUUGAGCAGUGGGCCAAGGAGAACCUCAUGAGAUUCAACAAAUCCAAAUGCAAAGCCUUGCAUCAGGGUUGAGGCAUCCCUCACUGCCAAUACAAGCUGAGGGAUGUAAGGAUUGAGUGCAGCCCUGCUGAUGAAGACCUGGGAGUACUAGCAGAUAGCAAGUUGGACAUGAGCCAGCAAUGUGCCCUCACAGCCCAGAAAAUCAACUGUAUCCCAGGCCCCAUCCAGAGAAAUGUGGCCAACUGGGUGAGGGAGGUGAUCCUGCCCCUCUGCUCUGUGCUGGUGAGACCUCACCUGGGGUACUGCAUCCAGGUGUGGAAUACUCAGUAAAGGAGAGACAAAGUCCUGUUGGAGCACAGCCAGAGGAGGGCCAAAUGAUUCAAGGUACAGAACACCUCUCCUGUGAGAACAGGCUGAGAGAGCCAGAGCUGUUCAGCCUGGAGAAGAGAAGGUUCUGAGGUGACCUGAGAGCGGCCUUUCAGUAUCUAAAAGGGAGCUCAGGAAAGAUGGGGACAGACUCUUUAGCAGGGUCUGUGGUGAUCAAACAAGGGGAUAUGGCUUCAAGCUUAAAGAGGGAAGAUUUAAGUUCGAUAUAUGGAAAAAGUCUUUUACACUGAGCAUGGUGAAGCACUGGAACAGGCUGUCUAGUGAUGUGAUCGAUGCCCCAUCCAUGGAGACUUGCAAGGCAAGUCUGGAUUAGGUCCUGGGUAGUAGGGGAAACACAAGGCCAGGCCUCUGCUCAGGAUCACAGAGCAGCCCUGGCUGAGGACCCGGAGCAGGCAGCAGGACCACAGAGCCUGCGGGGCAGUCACAAGGGUAAGUUGAGCCAUAACAGCUCCACAGCUCCCAACAAUGAAAUCUUGAAGUCCUAAACUCCAUCUCUCACUUCAUCUAGUCCUGCAGCACAUGUGCAAGCUGUGAUCUGGUUCCUCUCCUUUGACUUUCUAGUGCCUUCUACAGAAGCACACAGCACCAAUGCUAUUCAGUCACCACACGUACCUGAACAAACCGUUUCCUCAGCCACCCAAGGCCGGGAGCCUUCACAUCUCCCAAAUUCUUAUACAUUCCUUCAUACAUUUCCUUAAGUAUAAUUUUGUUUCUCUGAGUUUUUACCAGUUCAUUUCUGACAUCCGCAACCCAGUCCUGAAAGCAGAAAGAAUCAGAUGAGUACUGACAAAAACUCUAAUUUGUUCAGAUUGCAUUUGGGUUACUGCAUGUGCUAACGGUCAAUUAACGUGCCUUUUGAGAGCCACAUAAGCAAAUAAGAGUCUGUGCAAACAUUCUCCUCUCCUUCUGUUUUUUGGAUAAAAUCGUCUCUGCUUUUCUAACAUAACAGUGUUUACUACCAUAGCGUCUGGUACAAACUAAGAAAGCCCUCAUGGGGCCAGGAGUGGGAUCAAACACCAAACAGAAGAGUUCUUGCCACAGCAGGUUCACAAUGCAGGCAGGGGCACUCAGCAGAAAGCAGGCAAAGGGCACAAGGACCCCAGCAGACAGAAAUUGUGGACAUGGACAUAAACUCUCACUCUGUAGCAGUUUGGGAACAAUGAAGCAGGACUGACUGUGGGGCAGCACAAAGACUCCAGAGGGAGAAAGCUGAGGAGGAUGACUGCAAAGCAGUCAGCAGGCAGAAGGAGUGGGGAGCAGCGUGAAGCAAAGCUCAUAGAGCACCCUAGCAUCAGUGCCAGCCCAUUAUGAGGAGAACCACUUCCUGCAGCUGUAGCAUCUCCACCCUGCACUUUCUUUCCUAAGCACAGCAUUGGGAAGGAAGGGGGAAAAACAGUAAUACACUUUACCUUAAAAAGCAUUACGGGAUUAGAGAGCUGUUCCAGGGCGUGAAUAAAAUCUUGAACCACUCCUCCUCUGUCCAACUUGUUCUUGAUGCUUUAAAAGAAAGAACUCCAUCACAAUUCAGGAGAAACUACCAUCACCUGGCCUGCCCAUAAGCCAUGAUACACAGCAGCUGCUACAUCCAAGAACUGAGUAACACUAUCUGGGGGGAGGAGUGGGCACAAAUUAGGAGGACAACUCAGAAUAAUCCCGAGCUGUACAAGUGUUAAGUAUUGGCUGUCCUCACUGUGCAGCUCCUAAUUUCUUGGUAAUUAAGUGCCCUGCUAUGAGAAAACUGCCGCUUGGUGGGAUGGUGGUUAGCACGCUUACAACAGAAAGUGGCAUUAACAAGACCUGUCAUGACAGUUAUUCAAGGGCAAUAACAUUUGUGAAGCACAAGCCUUUCCCUUCUAAUUUUAAGCUAAGAUUUUGAGCAAAUGCAUCAGAAAUUUGAGAAAAGGCGAAGGGAUACCUAGAAUUAUUGUAGCAGUUCCACAGCACUGUGUGAUACAAGCUGACUUUCACCUGGGAAUUAAUUUAGGUUUUAUUGCAUGGCAAGGUGGGUAAGGUAGGGCUUGAAGGCUCAUGCUGCACACUGAGCAAGCAGAGAAGAAACCAAUGGAAAGCUGCUGUUUCCCAGAAGAUAAUGUUCACCAAUUUCACUGUCUCUGAAAUCUGAUGGGAGCCUCUGUUAUGUUCCCUGCCCUCUCUCCUGCUGUUAAGAAAGACUCAAAGUAUCCAAGCUGACUUCAUCUCCAUCCCUGAUGGGUUCUGACUGUCACUGCUGCAAAGUCUACUGCAGCAGGACUGUAAUCAUGCACCACAUUUCCCUUCAGCCUCAGCAGAGCAGGAAAAGGAAGAAGAAGAAAUUUUGACUGACACAGAGCUACCAGGAGAAAGGAGUUCCUUCUCCACAAUCUUCUAACUUCCCAGUCUGGGGACUCCAUGUCCUCAGUACUGCUGAAAGUAUUCAGGCUGCCUACCUGAGCGUGUCUAAUGCUGAGUGAGUUCAUGCACUGAUUUUCCCCGUGCCUUUGAAUCAAAGCACAGUGUGCGUGGGACUGCCCCCUAAUGAUUCUCCCAUGCUUCCUGAAGAAAACGGUUUCUUUAAAACAAAUAAGCCCAUCCACACGUGAAUCCAAAAUACACCAAAGAGCUGCUGAUCACAGAUUCACCUUGCUACAAACUCCUUGUUCCUACAGCCUGCUGCGGUAUCUUUGAAGCAGUAACUCUCACUGCUGAUCGUGAACGGGUAGAUGAUUGCCUGGGGGUAGGUAUCCACGAUCUCUUCCACAGUGUGCUGCACAGCCACUGCCUCAUCCUUGUCAAGGAGUGCCAUCAUCUGGCUAAUCCAACCGAUGAACUGCCAGCAGGGAACUGAAGGAAGCUGCAAAACAGACACUGCUUUCAAUGCUGGUCUUCUUUAUGGAUACCAAACAACAAACACGACCAAAACUGCUCCGUGUCCCAGCUUGACAGACAAAUACACAAAAAUAAAACAGAGAACACCAACUACCUUCACAAAACAUCUCCCACUGAAGCAGAGCUUCAUUACUAUAACUACUGCUACUACCACAUAGGUGUCCCAUUGCAAAAGCUCAUAUCGCUUUCAAAAUGGAUGCUACAUUCUCUUUGCUUGUGAUGAGAACAGGAUGGACUCUGACUCCUCUUCCCGCCUCAUCGCCUCCUACCUUUCUAACGGAGUUUAAGUUUAAUGGACUGCCAGGAUUGAUUGCACUGAAAGAGAAGUGAGAACAAAAACACCCAGAGAACUUCUCUUCUGGGUGAGGUUUAUUGGCUGGGCCAGGAGUCAGGUUUUGGUUUACCACCGGAGUUCCACUGUGGCCACACCGUGUCCACUUCAGCCACGUUUACUACGGUUUUGGUUUCUGUAGGUAACUGUGCCAUAUUUCUGUCUCUCUCACACCUUAAGUUCUCCCUCUGACAGGGCAGAGGAAGCACUCUGAGCACCAGCACGAUGAAACGGACUUAAAAACACAGGCAAGCCAGGACAGGAGAGCAGGAGCGGUCAUGAGCCAAAGAGAGCUCAGCUUAUCUGUGCCAUGACAGAAGGGAAGGCACAUGACAGCAUUCAGUUGCAAUACAGGAACAGGAAAUAGAAGGAAAUGGGAAAUACAAAUGAGAUGAAGCUGCAGUAAAGCUCUGAAAUGAAACAGGACAGAGAGAGAUGGGAAAAGUGAAAACAAGUGAUGAAGCUGUGGUUUCCUACACAUAGGGGAAAGCUUACAGGCAACUCUCUUAAUCCAACCCAGCUUUAUCAGCCCACUUAGAUGGUUCAGGGAAAAAAAAAGUCACUUUUUUCCAGCAGCUCUGCAAUUAAUAUUUGGAAUCAGUACCAUGACAAAAAUUCAACUUCUAAGAAAAGCUUCUGACCAUAGUAAUUAUACUCAACAAGACAAAGAACAAGGAACAACGAGAUAAAAUUGAUCUGGUUCACCUGCAGCAGAAUUCACCAGCAUUACCUCUUUGUCCAUCCAACCCCCACCUCCCACAUUUUAAAUUCCAUUUACAGCAAGGCUGGCUGCCAAGAGAAUGGAAGCACCUCACCUCUCGUGUCACCAGACCCAGCGUCUCCGCUGGAUAUCUUUCAAUUAUUUGUAGCAGUCGAGGAAACCUCAGCCUGGCUUCUCUGGAGUUCAGUUUUAAAGCUUUUAUCAUUUUCUCCACCACAAUAGCUGGGAAUAGCUGCAGAUCUGCAGCAUUAAUUUCUGCCAAGAGACGUUAAACAAAAGUUAUCAGAAACACCAUCACUUGUUGCAUGCCUUUGAUCAUCUGGAACAUUCAUCUCCACUGUUCAGCAUUUUUUCUUCCAGCGCAUUUUGUAUUUUUACUUUGUUCUCCUUCCCAUCUGUUUGAACUGUGCACACCACCAACUUGGGGAUGGUAAGGAUUAACUUUAUGGGGCAGCUGUAUCAUCUCUGGUAAACAGCCUACCUUAAAUACAGAACUGGUGGUGUGGUCUGGGAAGGAACAAGGGAAGCAUCUGCUGGACAUGAUAUAUAUCUCACCAGAGGAGGAUUACAAGUGAUUCACUAGCACCAAAGCUAGCAGUUGUAGCGGGGGAAAAAAAAGAACCAACAAUAGGACUAUCGAUACUGUUGGAGUGGAGGACAAAAUGUUCCAUUUAAACCCAAGCUGAAUUGCUCAGGGAGAUCUCCUCCUGGGAAUCACAAAAGCUCACACACCAGAGAUAAAUCCAUUUCACAUGCUCAGGGGAAACCCCCAACUAACCAAGUGAGCCUUCUUCUUCCUUUCGCAGGUGUUGGUCACAGAAACCAACCAAAGUCAUAUACGCAUCGAUAACUCCCUUCACAUCAACGUGUUCCAUGGAGAGGGACUGCACUUCCUCUUCAGACUUCCUCGCAGCGCUGCUGAAACACUGAAAAGCUCUCUUGUUCAGACCUGCUAAUAUCUGAAAUUUAACCAUAAGGGAAAAUAUAUCAUCCUAUUGAUCAUACUUUUCUAAUAAGGCUCACGUAAAGAAGGAUUUUACAAGAUUCUUUACAAAUGAAUGCUUUAAAUGCACACAUCCUCACACUGCCAGCAGGCUUAAUAACGUCAGGCACUGCAGCUACUAACCGAUAUAUAAAAUGGGUGGAGAAGAAGUGGGAACAACUGAAAAAUGGCAUAUCUGAAAUUAAGCAGUUUGUUCUUCAGGUAGGGAGAGGGACACUACCAGGGUCAGAGUGCUGCUUCAUGUGAAUAUGAAUUAAGGCUAUGCUCCUUAGUCUCAUCCAUAGUAGAAAUACCAGAUAUCCCAGCCUGAUCCACCUGACACAAGAGAAAGCUUUUACACUCAUCAUUUACAUUUCCUCACAAAGAAUGCUUUUAAUAAUUACCUAGCAAAUGAAGCUUAAGCUUUGCUCAAGCUUCUACAAACAUGGGAAAUGAGAAUCUAACUCAAAGGAACCUUGUCUUUACCCGCUUUUCUUUAACAUCCAUUAAAGACACAAAUGAAGAGUUGUUUUUUGUUGUUUUAUACUGAUAUGGUUCAUAUCUAAGACUCUGUAAGGUGGCUUUAGGAAUUGAGAGAACUAAGUCAGCCACGGUACUUUAAAUUCCUACUUAUCACAAUUUGACAGAGCAAAGGUAUGUGCCAGAGCACAAUAUGACAAUGCAGUGCAGUCCACCACUGUGAUCUUCAAAUGUGCACUUCUCCAAAAGAGGCAAAAGAUGAUUGGCAUACGUUCUGUUUCAACAUGAAAACCCUCUUCCCUUUAUCACUAGAACUAUUCAGAUGGAGUAAGCAUAACAGUACUGUUAUCAGUAUUAUAAAGAUCUCUUUAUGAGAUAAGAUAGUCUGACAACAAUAAGCAGCUCAGAAAUGCCCAGUGGAAACAGAAGUAUUCUUUGAGUUUCAUGUCCUCAGCUUUCUCUUACCAUUGUCAUGUGGGUGCACUCAGUACGUCUUUCUCCUCUCAACAAAAUGCAGGAAUGGAGACACGCAAGAACGUUCUCCCAAUUGAAAUGGCUGCAGUGAUGUAGAACACCGAGAGAGCAAAAACCAGCCAGAACUGCAGCCAUAGACUGACCCCACCUCCACAGCUGCUAUUCCUGCAGAUAUCAGUGCUAAUAGCAGGGUUUGAUACUCUCUAUAUCUAUCCAUAUCCUUCCCUACAUAAGAAUACUGUACUGAAAUACCAAAAAUCUUCCCCCCCCUUUUACCUUUUCAGGACUCUCAGAACUUUCUCCUGACAGUUCCAAUAUUUUUCCAGUUUUUUCUUCCUCUAUUUGCUCAAAGCAUUUUGGAUCCUGACUAAGAGCAUUGGCCAUGAUGUGGUACGUAGUACCCAGCAGAAGAUUCUGGUUUCGGAAGGCCAUUAUGUUCUUGUUAAGGUAGUCUGACUUGGUAUCUUCUGUUGGAAUUCAAAAACAAAGUCAGCAAUUUGACAACAAAGCAGCUUUAUACAAUAAAUAAAGCAAAGCAAAGAGUAUUACCAAGCAGGGAGAUGGUUUUUAACACAGAGAGCACUCGUUCAGGACAACUCUGGCUCUGGCUGCAGCUGUGCACGAAGCGGCAGUAGGCAUAGUUCCACCUCACCAGCCAGUCCUCCCUCGUCUUGGCCUCUCUGCGCAGGCCCUUCAGAAGCUUCUUGGCAAUGGAGAAGCUGUUCUGUAUUCAGAUUAAGACAGAAAUUUCAGAUAGCAUGUCUGAAACGAAAAUUUUCCUGCCAUCAUAUUUAGAGAUGGGAGGAUUUCAUUAAAAUAAGCAAAGCUACAGUAAGAUGUGGUUGAUGCCCCAUCCCUGGAGACUUUCAAGGUAAGGCUGGAUAAGUCCCUGGGCAACUUGAUCUAGCUGUGGAGCUCCUGUUCAUUGCAAGACAGUUGGAUUAGAUGGCCCUCAGAGGUCCACUCCAACUCUAAAUUGAUGCCAUAAAGAGAGGGCAGCUGCUUGAUUGGUCUCAUAUUGAAAAAAAACAGAUUUGUGCUAAUGGAGAAAUUUGGAAAGGAAAAAAGCACAGAGGUCUGAAAAACUGAGGAGAUUAAAAUAACUUUACCUGCGUAAUUAAAUAGAUAUUAACUGUUCUGCAGCCCAAACACACACGGACAGUGUAACUCGAUUUAUAAUACUAUUAAGCACAUUGUUCAUGUAUGAUGCCUGUGACUGGAUGAAACGUUUCUAUAGUAGCACUAAAUGAUACUUCGUUGGCUUUUUUUUAUUUAUUCCUUCAGGAGUGAACAGCCUGCAGAGCACUGAUGUUAUAUUUGGCCAUUUACAGUGCUUAAAAUCAACUCUGACACUGACUGUAGAUUGCUGCAGGAUCUCCGAGGACCAGGGAGACUUGGACUUCAAUAUUACUGGUCUUGUCUCAAGCUUGAAACACUAAAGUAAUGGUAAAAGUCAGAUCCAAAACAAAAUUUCUAAGUCAGUCAGUUUUAGCUUUUUAUAUAAAUGCUAACCCCAAAAUCUAAUCACAAUAUUAAUGAAAACCACGAUGAAAAUAAAUCCCCAAGUGUUUUACCAUUCUUGACUGAAGCGAAUGAUACUGAUUCAAUCUGAAUUUGCUUUGUGUUCUUGUACAGAAGGGAUUGUUUGUAAACAAGAGAGCAUAUUGUUUGGCAACAAGCAUCCUAUCCAUUAAUGACUGAAGAUACUUUAUCUGCGCUUCAGCGUCAGAAACCAUCUGUGGAUCAAAGGGGCCUUCAGGCACAUUUCCAGUAAUGACAAAUUAUCAUCAAGUUUUUAAUUAACAUUUAUCUGUUGUUUUCUCUCCCUAAAGAGCUGAAUUUCUUGAGCUUUCAAAAUGACCUCGGACAGCAGGAUCAAGCAGACACAAGCUCUGCCCUUGCAAAAACACACACAAGUAGACUUAGGAGGUUUUCAGCUCAUAUUUUCUCACAAAAAUGGAAGCUUAGCAGACAGUACAGUUACCUGUUUCCUGGCACUUUCUAUCAUCUUCAGUUUCAUGUUAAAUUUGCAGCUUCUAAUCAUUGAGUGAAUGUCUUCAUCCUGUUGAUCUACUUCCAUUUGGUCUCCAACACUACUUUCUUCAUCCACCUCCAUACUAUCAUUGGCCUUAUCACAGAGAAAUUUCUCUUGCAGCUUGUCAAGAAAGAAGCACCUGCACAAUGACAAGAGUACAAACCACUCUGGCACCCUGGCAAGGGAAUAUAUACCCAAAAGAGUUGAACUUUGACAGUAAGAAAAAAAAAAAGCUAAGAAGGAAUGGCAAAUUAUAGUGAUCACAUUUAGGAAAGGAUAAAUGUACUCAGCAAAGAGUCUCAAAGUAACAACCAGGGACAGGUUGACCCUGAGAGCAUUCCAGGAUCUUUAAUCAAUGAGAUUAAGUAUUAGAAAACAGUCAUAAUACAGUGGGAUCUUUUGUUGGUUUGUUCUUUUACACAUAACUACAACCACUUCCAAGCUCACCUCGCCAUAACUUCAGUUCCAACUUGACAGAAGUGUGCCAGGCUGUGUUUUAUGCAAAGCUACAAUUUGGUAUAUACAGUGCUGAGGCAAUUAAAGAAGGCACUUUAAAAUCUGCAUUGCAGGAAAAAAAAAAAGUAGUGAUUGUACCCAGCUUCUUAAAAUAGAACUGCCAUGAACCUGUGCUAAUUCCUUUUUAUUCUACAAUUAAUCCAAUCUAAUUCAAUUCCCACCAUGUAGACUGUUAUUCAAUGCAGGAGGAAAAAAAAAAAAUAAAAUCACAGAAUCACAAGGGUUGGAAAAGACCUCCAAGAUAAUCCAGUCCAACCACCCACCUACCACCAUCGUUUCCCCUUUUGCUCAUGUCUCGUAGUACCACAUCUCCACGCUUCUUGAUCACCUCCAGGGACAGUGACUCCCCCACCUCCCUGGGCAGCCUGUGCCACUGCCUGACCACUCUUCCAGAGUGGAAAUGUUUCUUAAUAUCCAACCUGAACCCCCUCCGGAGCAAUUUGAGGCCAUCCUCCCUCAUCCAGUCACUACUGGAGUCAGAAGCAAGCCUUAGCAUUGAAUAAAGGCACAUCUUUUCUAACUAAUUUGUGACAAAGUUUUUCCUAACAGCACAUAGAACUGUUUAAGACACUGACAACCACACAGAUCUUAGAAGUUCUGAGACUUUGUAAAGCAGUACACUACACCAUGUAUUUUUCUUAAUAUUUAACUAAGAUAAGCUCUUUCUAUAUCCAUGCUUUCCUGACACCCAGAGACAGUAAAGUAAGUUACGGUGCCCAGAGCAUAUCAGAAGAGCUGUUAAAUAAACUGUCCCCACAAGAAGUGAAAAAACUAAAUCCGCACAAGAAGACUGGACUGGGAUGGAGACGAAUACCAAGGAGAGAACAGAAAGUGUUCAAAUUUGAGAAGACAUUCCAGUUCCUUCGGAGCUAAUCCAAAACAGCCUCUAGAGAAACUUUGUUCUUUCUAGCAUCAGUUGUGCAGCAGAUUACUGCUCUGAUCACUGCAGUGGUCAUUAACUCUCCUAUAAACAUCAGAAGUAUGCAGUGUGACAGGGCUCAGCUUCUCUCGCACACUCCCUAACUUUGACACUGAUCAUGAAGUACGUAAGCAUUUUUAUCCAUAACGGAUGGGCCCUUUGGGUGGUGGUUUAUUGAGCUAAACACAGCUAACCUACUCAACUACAUGUGGGUGUGUUCGAGGGCUGCUGAAGUGGGACAGCUUGACUUCUCAUCAGCAUUUUUGUACAGUGUAUGUAGUUGCUGAUGCAAAAAAAAUGCCUAAAGUAACACUUGUUUCCCUAUCAAAACAUUGCUUAUUCCCCAUCUGCUUCUGAAACUCCCUUUGCUUUUCACCACAAGUGAGUCCCACAAAAAGCAAACCGUUAUAAAGCUGUUAAGAUCACUUAAAAGAAAAGGAAUACACUACAUCUGUGACACCCUCCAUGUAAACAAACGGUGUUAGGAAAAGCACCUCUCAGAAGUCAGCAGGCACACAGAAUUCAAGCUCACUGAAAAUCUCAUCUUACCGAUUUGUAAUGAUAUCAUCCCAGAUGUUCAUGGGAUCCAUUUUAGCAUCUGGAUAUCUGCUCGUCCAAGUUCUGAGAAGUCUCUUCAGGGAUUUAGCCUGUGAAGCUAUGUUACCUAGAAAUCAACAUGGUAUACUUUAAAAGCAUCUAGAUCCAAACAGCAUGAAAAAGGCCUAAACCCAAACACAAUGUAAUAUUCAAUCCCCCAAAGUGCAGUUGCAUUUCUGAAUUUGCAUUAGAUGUGUUAUUUCGUGCUGAUAUUUUUGGUUAUUGCUGAAGCACAGCAGAUUCAACACGGACAUCAGGGACAACUGUCACUGCAAAUCAUCAGCGGUAGCUACCUUCCAUAUGGAAGUAUGCUGGAAUACAGUGGAACUGUUAAGUAAAUUUAAUAUAUAACUAUAUUCAUAUUCAUGAAUUUAUGUUUCAUGCCAAUGACAGUAGCUAUAAAUGACAUACUUGAUCCAUCUUUUAUCCUUGCUAACCGCCUUGCUACAGAAGUGACCCCAACAAAAACCUUAGUUCAUUACUUCUUCAUUUAAAGAGAUACUGUUAUUACAACAGCUAGGCUACUAAAGCUUUGCAAAAGAACACUGAAUUACCUUGAAGCCUAUCUUACACAACUACAAUAGUUCUUACUAUCAAGACGACAGUAUGAAGUAAUUCCAACCCAUGCUCCCUCCAACAGGAGCUCAGUCCUCUGAAUGUGGAAACAAAUUACGAGUUCAGAAAAAUCAGAACUAUUCAACACAACGGGAACAGAAUAAAAAGUAAAUAUAUACUUGUUUUGGUCAUAAAAUUGAUGAAAUCCUGUAUUUCUGUCAGAGCCUGUACAGACUGCAGUUUGCUCAUUCGACUUUGGUAUAACAAAGUAUCUAUACUGGAAUAGCUCUGAAAAGCAAAGGAGAAAAAAGAUUUCACACACAGAAUUUACAACACGUUCUAUUUAACAGUCUGCAAACUAUUCACCUUAUGCUACUAUAGAAUAUGCUCGACAAUCAAAUCUUUUGUGAGCUAUUUAAUAGACUUGUAACCUGACAACAAGUCUGCUUUAAACAAGUAUAGAAGCAUAUUCUAGCGGCACUCUCUGUCCCUGAGUUAGGACAGUCCUACAGUCUAAUCAAACCUUGGUAACAGACAGGAGUUGUAACCUCCCAGUUUAGUACUCUAGCUUUCAGUUUGUCCUGGGAACAUCAGCUUCUGAAAAGAUGAAUUAAGUUAAAUUGCCAUUUCUCUGCACAAUUACUUUGAAGAACUUCUAAAUAGAUGAACUCAGCAGAAAAAAGCAAAUGAGAACAGGGGAGAGAAUGCAUUCCACUGUCUGGCUCAAUCCUCAACGUUGCAAGCAGCAUACUCAAUGGAAAUUUUGUCUUAUGAUUGAAAAGCACCUAGAUUUCACUGCCUUUGGGCAUUUUUCCCUCAAGAGUAUAAUCUAGCAGCAGUAACAGCAACAAGUUUUACUUGUUUACUUAAGUUUAUACAGAAAAAUCACAUCAAGAGUAGCAAUGAUUCUUACCUGCAUGAAGAUCUGUAUGCCGUUGCCAAUGUAGUAUUUAGCUCUGUCAAAAUCAUCUUGCAGGAUGUAAAGGAGACUAAGCUCUUGGCUGUAAUGCAUCUCUAUCAGAGCUUUCUUCUGUUCUGUCUUCAUUGCCUCAUCAAUGAAAGUGAGCAAAGUCUGGUCAUUUUCCCCAUUGAGCAGUAGCUUCAACUUACUGCGUAUUAUAUAGGGCAGAUACGUCUCCUG